Molecule: ribosomal RNA, 2786 nt
Filed under: Escherichia coli
Lineage: Bacteria; Pseudomonadati; Pseudomonadota; Gammaproteobacteria; Enterobacterales; Enterobacteriaceae
Description: bacterial LSU rRNA
Rfam family: Bacterial large subunit ribosomal RNA
Source: RNAcentral
AGCGUACACGGUGGAUGCCCUGGCAGUCAGAGGCGAUGAAGGACGUGCUAAUCUGCGAUAAGCGUCGGUAAGGUGAUAUGAACCGUUAUAACCGGCGAUUUCCGAAUGGGGAAACCCAGUGUGUUUCGACACACUAUCAUUAACUGAAUCCAUAGGUUAAUGAGGCGAACCGGGGGAACUGAAACAUCUAAGUACCCCGAGGAAAAGAAAUCAACCGAGAUUCCCCCAGUAGCGGCGAGCGAACGGGGAGGAGCCCAGAGCCUGAAUCAGUGUGUGUGUUAGUGGAAGCGUCUGGAAAGGCGCGCGAUACAGGGUGACAGCCCCGUACACAAAAAUGCACAUAUUGUGAGCUCGAUGAGUAGGGCGGGACACGUGGUAUCCUGUCUGAAUAUGGGGGGACCAUCCUCCAAGGCUAAAUACUCCUGACUGACCGAUAGUGAACCAGUACCGUGAGGGAAAGGCGAAAAGAACCCCGGCGAGGGGAGUGAAAAAGAACCUGAAACCGUGUACGUACAAGCAGUGGGAGCCUCUUUUAUGGGGUGACUGCGUACCUUUUGUAUAAUGGGUCAGCGACUUAUAUUCUGUAGCAAGGUUAACCGAAUAGGGGAGCCGAAGGGAAACCGAGUCUUAACUGGGCGUUAAGUUGCAGGGUAUAGACCCGAAACCCGGUGAUCUAGCCAUGGGCAGGUUGAAGGUUGGGUAACACUAACUGGAGGACCGAACCGACUAAUGUUGAAAAAUUAGCGGAUGACUUGUGGCUGGGGGUGAAAGGCCAAUCAAACCGGGAGAUAGCUGGUUCUCCCCGAAAGCUAUUUAGGUAGCGCCUCGUGAACUCAUCUCCGGGGGUAGAGCACUGUUUCGGCAAGGGGGUCAUCCCGACUUACCAACCCGAUGCAAACUGCGAAUACCGGAGAAUGUUAUCACGGGAGACACACGGCGGGUGCUAACGUCCGUCGUGAAGAGGGAAACAACCCAGACCGCCAGCUAAGGUCCCAAAGUCAUGGUUAAGUGGGAAACGAUGUGGGAAGGCCCAGACAGCCAGGAUGUUGGCUUAGAAGCAGCCAUCAUUUAAAGAAAGCGUAAUAGCUCACUGGUCGAGUCGGCCUGCGCGGAAGAUGUAACGGGGCUAAACCAUGCACCGAAGCUGCGGCAGCGACACUAUGUGUUGUUGGGUAGGGGAGCGUUCUGUAAGCCUGUGAAGGUGUGCUGUGAGGCAUGCUGGAGGUAUCAGAAGUGCGAAUGCUGACAUAAGUAACGAUAAAGCGGGUGAAAAGCCCGCUCGCCGGAAGACCAAGGGUUCCUGUCCAACGUUAAUCGGGGCAGGGUGAGUCGACCCCUAAGGCGAGGCCGAAAGGCGUAGUCGAUGGGAAACAGGUUAAUAUUCCUGUACUUGGUGUUACUGCGAAGGGGGGACGGAGAAGGCUAUGUUGGCCGGGCGACGGUUGUCCCGGUUUAAGCGUGUAGGCUGGUUUUCCAGGCAAAUCCGGAAAAUCAAGGCUGAGGCGUGAUGACGAGGCACUACGGUGCUGAAGCAACAAAUGCCCUGCUUCCAGGAAAAGCCUCUAAGCAUCAGGUAACAUCAAAUCGUACCCCAAACCGACACAGGUGGUCAGGUAGAGAAUACCAAGGCGCUUGAGAGAACUCGGGUGAAGGAACUAGGCAAAAUGGUGCCGUAACUUCGGGAGAAGGCACGCUGAUAUGUAGGUGAAGUCCCUCGCGGAUGGAGCUGAAAUCAGUCGAAGAUACCAGCUGGCUGCAACUGUUUAUUAAAAACACAGCACUGUGCAAACACGAAAGUGGACGUAUACGGUGUGACGCCUGCCCGGUGCCGGAAGGUUAAUUGAUGGGGUUAGCGCAAGCGAAGCUCUUGAUCGAAGCCCCGGUAAACGGCGGCCGUAACUAUAACGGUCCUAAGGUAGCGAAAUUCCUUGUCGGGUAAGUUCCGACCUGCACGAAUGGCGUAAUGAUGGCCAGGCUGUCUCCACCCGAGACUCAGUGAAAUUGAACUCGCUGUGAAGAUGCAGUGUACCCGCGGCAAGACGGAAAGACCCCGUGAACCUUUACUAUAGCUUGACACUGAACAUUGAGCCUUGAUGUGUAGGAUAGGUGGGAGGCUUUGAAGUGUGGACGCCAGUCUGCAUGGAGCCGACCUUGAAAUACCACCCUUUAAUGUUUGAUGUUCUAACGUGGACCCGUGAUCCGGGUUGCGGACAGUGUCUGGUGGGUAGUUUGACUGGGGCGGUCUCCUCCUAAAGAGUAACGGAGGAGCACGAAGGUUGGCUAAUCCUGGUCGGACAUCAGGAGGUUAGUGCAAUGGCAUAAGCCAGCUUGACUGCGAGCGUGACGGCGCGAGCAGGUGCGAAAGCAGGUCAUAGUGAUCCGGUGGUUCUGAAUGGAAGGGCCAUCGCUCAACGGAUAAAAGGUACUCCGGGGAUAACAGGCUGAUACCGCCCAAGAGUUCAUAUCGACGGCGGUGUUUGGCACCUCGAUGUCGGCUCAUCACAUCCUGGGGCUGAAGUAGGUCCCAAGGGUAUGGCUGUUCGCCAUUUAAAGUGGUACGCGAGCUGGGUUUAGAACGUCGUGAGACAGUUCGGUCCCUAUCUGCCGUGGGCGCUGGAGAACUGAGGGGGGCUGCUCCUAGUACGAGAGGACCGGAGUGGACGCAUCACUGGUGUUCGGGUUGUCAUGCCAAUGGCACUGCCCGGUAGCUAAAUGCGGAAGAGAUAAGUGCUGAAAGCAUCUAAGCACGAAACUUGCCCCGAGAUGAGUUCUCCCUGACUCCUUGA